Long non-coding RNA from Cannabis sativa, 678 nucleotides. RefSeq lists it as uncharacterized. Lineage: Eukaryota; Viridiplantae; Streptophyta; Magnoliopsida; Rosales; Cannabaceae. The transcript has 3 exons. The record is from RefSeq and is a predicted model, not a curated record.
GCCGAACGGGAUUCAGGCCCGAAAUGCAAAUUGGAUUAAAUUAUUUGGCAUUUUAAUGUUGGUGAAUAAUCUGAAAUUAAUUGGGUUUUAAUUGUGCAUGAAAUGCCAUUUUUGCUCUUGUAUGUUAAAGUGAAUGUUAAUUGGCCCUAAGGGCAUUUUGGUCAUUUGACCUCUUUCUAUUACAUUUGGAAAAAAAUGAAUUUUAUUAAGAAAAAUCAAAGUAAAUUCUGGGUUAUUCCUCUUCUUCACCCGACCCCUCUCUCUCUCUUUAGCUCUUUGAAUUUUCAAAAUUUCUUUGGUGAAUUGCUUGGGUUUAGCUUGAAAUUGAAGUGAAAGUGUUGGUGAUUCUUGUGCUAGCCCUUAAAGUGAUUCUUGAGGAUUACCGGCACCUGAUCAGGAGCACCCGGUGAUUUGGAAUCUCUAGCAUUGCAGGACAUCAGGAAAGGGUAAGACAUUAGCUGAUCAACCAUGAGUUUCAGGAGCUGGGCGAGGAAUGUACAUGUUCAUGCCACUUCAGACCAAGCGGGUUAUGGGUCUAACAGUUUUGACUUUUGUAUUCUAUUUUGCCGCUUAGGUCGGCUAGAAAGAAAGGACUUGUAAUAAGUUUGUAAAUAUUUUUGGGAUCCCAAUGGUUUAAAAGUUUAAAAGUAUUACAAGUUUUAUUUUCAUUCCGAUUAA